GAUGAAGAACGCAGCGAAAUGCGAUAAGUAAUGUGAAUUGCAGAAUUCAGUGAAUCAUCGAAUCUUUGAACGCACAUUGCGCCCCCUGGUAUUCCGGGGGGCAUGCCUGUUCGAGCGUCAUUUCACCACUCAAGCCUCGCUUGGUAUUGGGCAACGUGGUCCGCCGCGUGCCUCAAAUCGACCGGCUGGGUCUUCUGUCCCCUAAGCGUUGUGGAAACUAUUCGCUAAAGGGUGUUCGGGAGGCUACGCCGUAAAACAACCCCAUUUCUAAGGUUGACCUCGGAUCAGGUAGGGAUACCCGCUGAACUUAAGCAUAUCAAUAAGCGGAGGA
RNAcentral lists this unclassified non-coding RNA (331 nucleotides) under soil metagenome. Its description in RNAcentral is "partial contains 5.8S ribosomal RNA, internal transcribed spacer 2, and large subunit ribosomal RNA". The stretch from base 1 to 120 matches the Rfam family "5.8S ribosomal RNA", at positions 35 to 154 of the family's 154-position model. The record is from RNAcentral.